CCCUUGUACUGUGGGCCUGUGGUCCUGUUCCAGGGCCUUCCAGAGUCUGGUCCACUGGUGCUGGGAGACGACUGUAACCAGUUUACAUUUCAGUUCUCUUUCAGGACCCACUUUGAGCAAUUCUUGGUGAAGACUCAUCAUAUAUGGAUGACCCGAGGCCCAACCACUCAACUGUGGUGGAGUGAUCUGGUUGAGAGGACCAGAGUGGAUCACCACGGUGCUCCAGUUUACAAAUCUGUCACCAAGUACAUCACAGGAGUUAAG
Molecule: long non-coding RNA, 264 nt
Organism: Osmerus eperlanus (European smelt)
Lineage: Eukaryota; Metazoa; Chordata; Actinopteri; Osmeriformes; Osmeridae
Exons: 4
Source: RefSeq, a predicted model, not a curated record